This 75-nucleotide transfer RNA is filed under the name Stutzerimonas stutzeri. RNAcentral's name for it is "Pseudomonas stutzeri tRNA-Lys". It matches the Rfam family "tRNA". Rfam says of the family: Transfer RNA (tRNA) molecules are approximately 80 nucleotides in length. Their secondary structure includes four short double-helical elements and three loops (D, anti-codon, and T loops). Lineage: Bacteria; Pseudomonadati; Pseudomonadota; Gammaproteobacteria; Pseudomonadales; Pseudomonadaceae. RNAcentral also lists the same sequence under 1 other name. The record is from RNAcentral.
GGUGAUUAGCUCAGUUGGUAGAGCAGCUGACUCUUAAUCAGCGGGUCGUAGGUUCGAGCCCUACAUCACCCACCA